CACGUAGGAGGCGAGCGUUGUCCGGAAUCAUUGGGCGUAAAGAGCGCGCAGGCGGCUUGGCAAGUCGGGUGUGAAAUCCCGGGGCUCAACCCCGUGACUGCAUUCGAUACUGUCAGGCUAGAGGUAGGUAGGGGAGAUCGGAAUUCCUGGUGUAGCGGUGAAAUGCGCAGAUAUCAGGAGGAACACCGGUGGCGAAGGCGGAUCCCUGGGCCUUACCUGACGCUCAGGCGCGAAAGCGAGGGGAGCGAACAGG
Molecule: ribosomal RNA, 253 nt
Filed under: uncultured bacterium
Lineage: Bacteria
Description: partial 16S ribosomal RNA
Rfam family: Bacterial small subunit ribosomal RNA
Source: RNAcentral